This 80-nucleotide transfer RNA is filed under the name Escherichia albertii. RNAcentral's name for it is "tRNA-OTHER". Lineage: Bacteria; Pseudomonadati; Pseudomonadota; Gammaproteobacteria; Enterobacterales; Enterobacteriaceae. The record is from RNAcentral.
GGGGCUAUAGCUCAGCUGGGAGAGCGCCUGCUGCUUUGGCACGCAGGAGGUCUGCGGUUCGAUCCCGCAUAGCUCCACCA